CCCGCAGUCCGUUGAUUCCCCACAUCUCCGCCGAGCUGCCUCUCUCUCUCUCUCAGUCCGUCCACAUCCGCAGUGAUUUGGCGGCGGCGGCUGACGUGGAGGCCGGAGACCCGUUCGUGACGGGGAGAGCGGGGGAGGCGGGUUCGGGUUCGCAGGGCCCUGCCCUGCCCUCACGCGACCCUGCUCCGGCUGCUCGUGCUCGUCUCUCGCCGCCACCGCCGAUUCGCGCGAGCCCCCCCUAGUCCCUUACACUAGCGGAUCCAAAUGAGCUCUUCCCCGUACGCAGGCGUCCUCCUCUGCUUCCCCAUCCCCUCAGCCGGGGUGCCGGAGAUCCAUCGGGGUCUGCUGUCGCCGUCAUCCGUGAAUCCGACAAGUUGCAAAAGGCUUUGGUCUUGACUUGGUGGAGCAAUGCCUGCUGGUUAUAUUUGCAGGCAACAUGUUUAUACAGAUUACAUUUUCUGGAGACCAUGGCGCCCCGCACCGGAUUCGCCUCCGCCUCCAGGAUGAGGAUCAGAUGGUUCGGGAGAUAAUUAGCAAGCUCAAGUAUUUGGAGAUUUAAUUGCAGAGAGAAGAAGAAGGAAUGGAGAUAAGAAGGAAUGGAGAUGCUGGAAUUCGGCAAGGUGGAGAAUCAAUUGAACUAACAAGCUGUAGAAAUAGAAUAGUUGAAGCUUGGACAGUUCUACUGAUUCUGGUUGUAAUUUGCCAUCUAUGACAAUGUGAAGCAACUGAACAUAUUGUACUGUGUUAUCAAGAAAAGAAAAUUUUGAUCUCAA
Lolium perenne is the source of this 773-nucleotide long non-coding RNA. RefSeq lists it as uncharacterized. The record is from RefSeq and is a predicted model, not a curated record. Lineage: Eukaryota; Viridiplantae; Streptophyta; Magnoliopsida; Poales; Poaceae.